RNAcentral lists this ribosomal RNA (472 nucleotides) under uncultured bacterium. RNAcentral describes it as "bacterial SSU rRNA". It matches the Rfam family "Bacterial small subunit ribosomal RNA", at positions 28 to 515 of the family's 1533-position model. The record is from RNAcentral.
GACGAACGCUGGCGGCGUGCUUAACACAUGCAAGUCGAACGGUAAGGCCCUUUCGGGGGUACACGAGUGGCGAACGGGUGAGUAACACGUGGGUGAUCUGCCCUGCACUUUGGGAUAAGCCUGGGAAACUGGGUCUAAUACCGAAUAGGACCAUGCCAUGCAUGUGGUGUGGUGGAAAGCUUUUGCGGUGUGGGAUGGGCCCGCGGCCUAUCAGCUUGUUGGUGAGGUUAUGGCUUACCAAGGCGACGACGGGUAGCCGGCCUGAGAGGGUGACCGGCCACACUGGGACUGAGAUACGGCCCAGACUCCUACGGGAGGCAGCAGUGGGGAAUAUUGCACAAUGGGCGCAAGCCUGAUGCAGCGACGCCGCGUGAGGGAUGACGGCCUUCGGGUUGUAAACCUCUUUCACUAGGGACGAAGCGUGAGUGACGGUACCUAGAGAAGAAGGACCGGCCAACUACGUGCCAGCCGC